AGAUACCCCACUAUGCCUAGCCGUAAACAAUUAACUUACACUAAUAAACGCCAGGGAACUACGAGCUAUGCUUAAAACCCAAAGGACUUGACGGUGUCCCAUACCAACUAGAGGAGCCUGUUCUAUAAUCGAUGACCCCCGCUAUACCCAACCAUCCCUUGCUUUAUCAGCCUGUAUACCUCCGUCAUAAGCCUACCAUGUGAACGUCAACAGUGGGCCCAAUGGUUUAUACAACCAAAAUGCCAGGUCAAGGUGCAGCUCACGGAAUGGUAAGUAAUGGGCUACAAUUUCUAAUCUAGAACAAACGGAAAGCUAUGUGAAACCACAGCCUAAAGGUGGAUUUAGUAGUAAAAAGAAAAUAGAGUGUUCUUUUUAACCCGGCCCUGGGACACGUACACACCGCCCGUCACCCUCUUCAAUAGCUCUCAUUUUAUGUAUAUUACACUAUAUCUGCGUUUUAGAAGAGGCAAGUCGUAACAUGGUAAGUGUACUGGAAAGUGCACUUGGUUAACAAUAUGUAGCUUAACUAAAGCCCCCCGCUUACACCGGAGAAAUGUCUGUUCAACUCGGACCAUUUUGAGCCCUAAAUCUAGCCCACACAACCUCCUAUAUCACUACCCCCUCAACCGCCAAUAAACAAAACAUUUUAACAAUUUAGUACAGGCGAUCGAAAAUUUUUUAAGCGCUUCAGAUAAAGUACCGCAAGGGAAUGAUGAAAUAGCAAUGAAAUAACCUCAAAGCCCAAAACAGCAGAGCCUCUCCCUCGUACCUUUUGCAUCAUGGUCUAGCUAGUCUACCCAGGCAAAGUGAAAACUUUAGUCUGACUUCCCGAAACUAAGCGAGCUACUUCAAAACAGCCUUAGAGCUAACCCGUCUCUGUUGCAAAAGAGUGGGAAAAUUUUCAAGUAGAAGCGAUAAACCUACCGAGCUUAGAGAUAGCUGGUUGUUCAGGAAAAGAGUUUAAGCUCUACCUUAAGUUUUCUUGUUGUAUUAAACAAAAUACUAGACUUAAGAGCUAUUCAAAUAAGGUACAGCUUAUUUGAAAAAGGCUACAACCUACAAUACCGGGUUAAUAUUGAUUUUAUUAAUAAAGUGGGCCUAAGAGCAGCCAUCUUAUAGAAAGCGUUAAAGCUCAACUAUCUCCUCUCUCAAAUUCCAAAAAUUAUCUUCAACCCUUCAUUACUACUGAACUAUUUUAUAUCUUUAUAAAAGUUAUUAUGCUAGAACUAGUAACAAGAAUUAGCCCUUCUCCAAAAUGCACACUCAAGCCAAAAUGGACACCCCAUUGGCAGUUACCGCAAAUGCACCUAUUAUAGUACCUCCCACUAGACAACUCUAUAACCCUAAGCGUUAACCUGACACUAGAGCAUUACAGGAAAGAUUAAAAGAGAAAGAAGGAACUCGGCAAAUCUCGGUCCCGCCUGUUUACCAAAAACAUCGCCUCUUGACCAAAUAUAAGAGGUCCAGCCUGCCCACUGACAUAGUUUAACGGCCGCGGUACCCUAACCGUGCGAAGGUAGCAUAAUCACUUGUUCUUUAAAUAAGGACUUGUAUCAACGGCAUCACGAGGACUAUACUGUCUCCUUUCUCCAAUCAGUGAAACUGAUCUCCCCGUGAAGAAGCGGGGAUUAACCUAUAAGACGAGAAGACCCCAUGGAGCUUAAAGCCCACAAACACCUCUGCGCACUUAAACCAAUUUAGCCUAAGAGACCUGUGAGCCAGCUUUAGGUUGGGGGGACCGCGGAGAAAAACCUAACCUCCACGACAAACGGGCAAACGCCCUAAUCCAUGAAUCACAAUUCUAAGAAUCAAUAAACUGAUGUUUAAUGACCCGAUUAUUCGAUCAACGAACCAAGUUACCCUGGGGAUAACAGCGCAAUCUACUUUAAGAGCUCAUAUCGACAAGUAGGUUUACGACCUCGAUGUUGGAUCAGGGUAUCCCAGUGGUGCAGCCGCUACUAAAGGUUCGU
This 1970-nucleotide unclassified non-coding RNA is filed under the name Amolops ricketti (Chinese sucker frog). Its description in RNAcentral is "partial contains 12S ribosomal RNA, tRNA-Val, and 16S ribosomal RNA". It matches the Rfam family "Bacterial large subunit ribosomal RNA", at positions 196 to 2576 of the family's 2925-position model. Lineage: Eukaryota; Metazoa; Chordata; Amphibia; Anura; Ranidae. The record is from RNAcentral.